RNAcentral lists this ribosomal RNA (253 nucleotides) under uncultured bacterium. Its description in RNAcentral is "partial 16S ribosomal RNA". It matches the Rfam family "Bacterial small subunit ribosomal RNA", at positions 524 to 776 of the family's 1533-position model. The record is from RNAcentral.
UACGUAGGGUGCAAGCGUUACUCGGAAUUACUGGGCGUAAAGCGUGCGCAGGCGGUUGUGCAAGACAGAUGUGAAAUCCCCGGGCUCAACCUGGGAAUUGCAUUUGUGACUGCACGGCUAGAGUGUGUCAGAGGGGGGUAGAAUUCCACGUGUAGCAGUGAAAUGCGUAGAGAUGUGGAGGAACACCGAUGGCGAAGGCAGCCCCCUGGGUUAACACUGACGCUCAGGCACGAAAGCGUGGGGAGCAAACAGG